RNA transcript from Oncorhynchus gorbuscha (pink salmon), 2351 nucleotides. It is a transcript of the gene named ras-related protein Ral-A-like, with no coding region annotated. The transcript has 7 exons. NCBI's taxonomy places the organism in Eukaryota, Metazoa, Chordata, Actinopteri, Salmoniformes, Salmonidae. The record is from RefSeq and is a predicted model, not a curated record.
CCAGGAAGAAGAGGGAUCAAGAUACAGAAAGCAGUUGAGCGUCUAGUUAACAAAGCAUAAAGAGGGCCAAGUUUGGAAGCAAGAUUAAUGAUGUGUCGGAGUGGAAAGUUGUCAUGGUGUUUGAUGACGUAGAGAAAGAGCACAGUAGGUGGCGGCAUGACUUAAACGAUUGAUUGCGGACCGCCAUGAUAUCAUAGAAGAAGAAGUAGAUAACAAAGAAGAAGACUUGACAAUCUCUUCUCUUGUUGCUAGGAUCGCGAGAAGAGGGGGACAAGCUCAAUCUGCCUCACGUUGCAGUUGGGAGGUUGCUGUCCUAUCUAUCUGGCUUACCUUCAGAUCCUCCCUUUUCCCCUCCUGGUUUCUUCCCGAACCUCUUGCUCUCCUUAAACCCUCUUUACUUGGAGUGAACCACCAUGGCAACAGCAAAGCCCAAAGGGCAGAACUCUCUGGCCCUCCACAAAGUGAUCAUGGUGGGCAGUGGUGGAGUGGGGAAGUCAGCCCUCACUCUGCAGUUCAUGUAUGACGAGUUUGUUGAGGACUAUGAACCAACUAAAGCGGACAGCUAUAGGAAAAAGGUAGUUCUGGAUGGGGAGGAGGUCCAGAUAGACAUCCUGGACACUGCGGGACAAGAGGACUAUGCUGCCAUCCGGGACAACUACUUCCGCAGUGGGGAGGGCUUCCUCUGUGUCUUUUCCAUCACUGAGGCAGAGUCGUUUGCAGCUACAGCAGACUUCAGGGAGCAGAUCUUGCGGGUGAAGGAGGAUGAGAGUGCACCCUUCCUCCUGGUGGGGAACAAGUCUGACUUGGAGGACCGGAGGCAGGUCAGCGCCGAAGAGGCCAAGGCGCGUGCUGAACAGUGGGGCGUGUGCUACGUGGAGACCUCUGCCAAAACCCGUGCCAAUGUCGACAAGGUAUUCUUUGACCUGAUGAGAGAGAUCCGAGCGAGGAAGAUGGAGGACAGUAAAGAGAAAAACGGCAAGAAGAAAAGGAAAAGUUUGGCCAAGAGGAUUAGAGAGAGAUGCUGCAUUUUAUAGUGACAAGGGGGUCAGUGAUGACUGCUUUGUGUAUAAAUAUUUCACCUAUUUUUGCAUUUUAUUUGUGCCCAUAGAAGCCCCUUACUCCUGGUUCUGGUACCCAGGGAUUCUAGUCUUGGAUCAGAAGUAACUGGUAGGUUUAACAAAAGGUUGCGCUAGAGAGAUCUAGCAUGGGCUACGUCUCAAUCCACUUCAUCCGCCUAUGUCGCCCUUCCGCAUCUGCAGUGGAAAGUGGCGGAGCUACAGAGCUGUUUGUCAAACCAGGAGACAUCCAGAAAAUCGUAGACUCACGAACAUGACGGUGUUCUCCGUGUUUUGCUUUGACGUCCACAAGUGUCGCUGGACCAGUCCUAAAGGUAACCCAAACAAAUGAAUGGAGGUAGUUUUGUGCCAACAAAAAUAAGGGGUUAAAUGUGUUGUUUAAUUCCUGAGCUUUCUUAUCUCAUUGAUAUAGGACAGACACUUCAAAACUUUAUUCCUUAUGAUUAAUUUUUGUACUGUCUUGUCGUUUAUGAAUGUAUAAUUCAAUGCGUUUAUGUGUUUAUAUGGGCUAUAGUAGUAAAGGCCAAGUGUAAUAUUUUGUCAUACUUUAUUUAUUUUUUGGGGAUACCUAAAAGGCUCCUAAAAUUUCAAAUCAAAUAGCUAAAUGAUCCAUUGUAUGACCUUAAAACAAUUCCAUGUCAUCUUAGAACCCCCCCCUUGUAGAAUUCUGUAGCACACCAUUAUCUACUUCCAUGGUGCUAUCUUGCUUUCUGACUGACCUAGAUCAAGUUCUGUUUGUUUGUGUGUAUGCACGUGCGUGGGUCCAAGCCCCUACUUGGUAACUCUGUCUCAAAUGACAAAUGUUUUUAUUAACUUAUUUUCCUAUUGUUUGGCGUAAUCACAAUGGACUGGGCCAGGUCAAAUUGAGCAAGGCCAGGUCUGGUUCGUGAGACUUAUGUAGGACUUUGUAUUACAUUUUGUUGCAGUAAUGUGAAUGCAGGUGAAUUUUCUCUACAGGAAACUUUUAAUGUGAGUUUAUUUAUUUUAUUUUUUACUGUACACAUGUAUUGCCUUAUGUUUUAAUAUCCUUUUACUUUCAAUUUGUAAUAUUUAUCUUUGAUCUUCAAUUUCAUAAAGCAAAUCAAUCUCAAUAUGGAUGUUGGUUAUACCUGUAUUGUGUAGUUAUUAUGUUGUCUGUUUACUCACAUCCUUAACAAAAACACUAAUGUAUCUUACUGUUACUGGGUACGAUAAUUGAAAUGCUGUGUACCUUUCAGUUCAUGUUUUGUGAGCUAUUGGAUAGACAAAUAAAGUGAUUAUAAUUUUUUAAACAAA